Long non-coding RNA from Lolium rigidum, 1010 nucleotides. RefSeq lists it as uncharacterized. Lineage: Eukaryota; Viridiplantae; Streptophyta; Magnoliopsida; Poales; Poaceae. The transcript has 3 exons. The record is from RefSeq and is a predicted model, not a curated record.
UUGACUUAGUACAAAAGCUAGAAGUACACUUAUUUGUGGACGGAGGGAGUAUGAGAUAUUGCCAUUGAAGCUAUUCCCUCGAAGAUCAAUUUUGGCAGGUUUCUGAGGCUGAUUAUGCGUGCACCAUCAAGUACUUCGUAUAAAUGAUUUUUAAGAGAAGAGAGGUACUCGAGCGAAGUACCAUUGAAUAUAUCAUCUGGGAGUCCCCCACUGAGGUUGUUCUGGUCGACCUUGAGCACUUCCAGCAUGAAGCAAAUAUCAAAUCCUUGAGGGAUGCUGGCACUGAAAUGGUUGAAACAGAGCUCAAGCAUAAGAAACGAUGGAGAGCUGUUGAAGAUAUGAGUUGGUAUAUUCCCAGUGAAGUUGGAGUUGCUGGCGUUGACGCCAACCAGAUUGUUCAUUACCUCCCAUGUGGUGUACGAAAACUGUCAUGUAAAAGUUGCUCAAGAUGUUCAGUAUUGCAAAGGUGGCAAAGCACCGCACAUCGAGUUGCGGGAGAGGUUGAGGUGAUGCCAUCCAGGGAGGCUCCCAAGAGACAGAGAGAGACGCACUUUGAGGGCAACAAUAUAUUGGUGACCGUCUUGUUUGAAAUGCAGUUGACCCCUCCCCACUUACAAAAAUCCAUGCUACCCUGUGAUAGUCCCACUAGGAAUUGGAGAAGGGAACCCUUAUCCUAAGGGAGCCCUUCUCCUCCCCCGUGCAUGAGCUGGUGGGAUUGGCAGAGAUCAGCAACACAAGAGAAAGGCCAGGCAAAAGCACAAGAAAGAAAGGUGGCAAGUAACUAGACAGCGUGCACGAAGUAUGGACUAUGCAUAAAAGAUUGCAACAUCAUGAAGUGGUUUAAUACCUACCUUGAACUUCCCCUUUUAUUUUCUAGACAAGAACUUUCCCUUUUCUCUUCUAUACCUCGAGCAUGAACAAGAAAGUUGGUGGGAUAGUUUCCUCACAAACUUGAUUAGAAAAUAUCUCCUAGGCUGGAAGGUCGAUGGAUAUGUUCUGCCUACUAGAGA